This is a long non-coding RNA of Polypterus senegalus (gray bichir), 399 nucleotides long. RefSeq lists it as uncharacterized. The record is from RefSeq and is a predicted model, not a curated record. The transcript is spliced from 2 exons. Lineage: Eukaryota; Metazoa; Chordata; Cladistia; Polypteriformes; Polypteridae.
GCUGGCAAUUAUAGAAACAAGGCGCACCGCUCGCACGGAAAACUUUACAGAGAAAAUGAAGAGCUUUAGAAAUGGCUGGAUGGAUACUGGUUUUAAAGGUUUUUAUAUAAUGAACUCUGUCAGUGGCGGUAAAUAUGCAAUUAUUGCGAGUCGUGUCAAGCCUUAUAGGGUCACAGAGAGCUGAAGUGUAUCCUAGAAAACACUACUGAAAGACUGAAUCCGACCCCUGAUGGGAUGUUAAUCACAAGACACUUUUGCACCAGCCACAUUAUUGCACCUAGUCAACCUAACAUUUUUUUGGAUGUAGGGAACAAACCCAUAUAAUCUCUGGGUGAGCUCACCAUCUUCAUGCAGAAGGCACCCAUGAGAGGAAUCUAAUAAAGGUGAAAGUGCUGUGAA